AGUCGAACGGUAACAGGUCUUCGGAUGCUGACGAGUGGCGAACGGGUGAGUAAUACAUCGGAACGUGCCCGAUCGUGGGGGAUAACGAGGCGAAAGCUUUGCUAAUACCGCAUACGAUCUACGGAUGAAAGCGGGGGAUCUUCGGACCUCGCGCGGACGGAGCGGCCGAUGGCAGAUUAGGUAGUUGGUGGGAUAAAAGCUUACCAAGCCGACGAUCUGUAGCUGGUCUGAGAGGAUGAUCAGCCACACUGGGACUGAGACACGGCCCAGACUCCUACGGGAGGCAGCAGUGGGGAAUUUUGGACAAUGGGCGAAAGCCUGAUCCAGCCAUGCCGCGUGCAGGAUGAAGGCCUUCGGGUUGUAAACUGCUUUUGUACGGAACGAAAAGCCUCUUUCUAAUAAAGAGGGGUCAUGACGGUACCGUAAGAAUAAGCACCGGCUAACUACGUGCCAGCAGCCGCGGUAAUACGUAGGGUGCAAGCGUUAAUCGGAAUUACUGGGCGUAAAGCGUGCGCAGGCGGUUUUGUAAGACAGAGGUGAAAUCCCCGGGCUCAACCUGGGAACUGCCUUUGUGACUGCAAGGCUGGAGUGCGGCAGAGGGGGAUGGAAUUCCGCGUGUAGCAGUGAAAUGCGUAGAUAUGCGGAGGAACACCGAUGGCGAAGGCAAUCCCCUGGGCCUGCACUGACGCUCAUGCA
RNAcentral lists this ribosomal RNA (696 nucleotides) under uncultured bacterium. Its description in RNAcentral is "bacterial SSU rRNA". It matches the Rfam family "Bacterial small subunit ribosomal RNA", at positions 60 to 753 of the family's 1533-position model. The record is from RNAcentral.